RNAcentral lists this ribosomal RNA (465 nucleotides) under Vreelandella stevensii. Its description in RNAcentral is "partial 16S ribosomal RNA". It matches the Rfam family "Bacterial small subunit ribosomal RNA", at positions 338 to 795 of the family's 1533-position model. Lineage: Bacteria; Pseudomonadati; Pseudomonadota; Gammaproteobacteria; Oceanospirillales; Halomonadaceae. The record is from RNAcentral.
CCUACGGGAGGCAGCAGUGGGGAAUAUUGGACAAUGGGGGCAACCCUGAUCCAGCCAUGCCGCGUGUGUGAAGAAGGCCCUCGGGUUGUAAAGCACUUUCAGUGAGGAAGAACGCCUGGUGGUUAAUACCCAUCAGGAAAGACAUCACUCACAGAAGAAGCACCGGCUAACUCCGUGCCAGCAGCCGCGGUAAUACGGAGGGUGCGAGCGUUAAUCGGAAUUACUGGGCGUAAAGCGCGCGUAGGUGGCUUGAUAAGCCGGUUGUGAAAGCCCCGGGCUCAACCUGGGAACGGCAUCCGGAACUGUCAAGCUAGAGUGCAUGAGAGGAAGGUAGAAUUCCCGGUGUAGCGGUGAAAUGCGUAGAGAUCGGGAGGAAUACCAGUGGCGAAGGCGGCCUUCUGGACUGACACUGACACUGAGGUGCGAAAGCGUGGGUAGCAAACAGGAUUAGAUACCCCAGUAGUC